Molecule: ribosomal RNA, 506 nt
Filed under: uncultured bacterium
Lineage: Bacteria
Description: partial 16S ribosomal RNA
Rfam family: Bacterial small subunit ribosomal RNA
Source: RNAcentral
AUUGAACGCUGGCGGCAGGCCUAACACAUGCAAGUCGAACGGCAGCGGGGGAUAGCUUGCUAUCCUGCCGGCGAGUGGCGGACGGGUGAGUAAUGCAUGGGGAGCUGCCCAGUCGAGGGGGAUAACAACUGGAAACGGUUGCUAAUACCGCAUACGCCCUUUGGGGGAAAGGUGGGGAACUUCGGUCCUACCGCGAUUGGAUGCGCCCAUGUGGGAUUAGCUAGUUGGUGAGGUAACGGCUCACCAAGGCGACGAUCUCUAGCUGGUCUGAGAGGAGGACCAGCCACACUGGAACUGAGACACGGUCCAGACUCCUACGGGAGGCAGCAGUGGGGAAUAUUGCACAAUGGGGGAAACCCUGAUGCAGCCAUGCCGCGUGUGUGAAGAAGGCCUUCGGGUUGUAAAGCACUUUCAGUCAGGAGGAAGGGGUGAUGGCUAAUAUCCAUCAUCAUUGACGUUACUGACAGAAGAAGCACCGGCUAACUCCGUGCCAGCCGCCGCAGUAA